AUGCUCUGCUCCUUCUCCUCCUCCUUCUUCUGUCGCUCCAUGACCGAGAGGAUGAUGCGCCGCUCCUCCUCGGUCAGGUGGCUCAGGUCCGGCGGCUCUGACCCGGUCCCGGUCCCGGCCCCGGCGGGCGGCGCGGGUCCGGCCGCUCGAGACAUCCUCGGAACCGCUGUGGAAGAGACGGACGCAGGCGGUCAGGCCGUCACAUCAAUGGUGAUGAGGCGGAGGAAGCGUAAACCCGCAGACGGCUGUUUCCCGAUGAGAGGACAGAUGACCAGCAGCCGACCGACAGAUGAAGCUGAAGGUGUGCGCGGUUUUCCUUCUGCUCAGCGGUUUUCUGUGGAGGGCGGCGUGCAGGAUGGCUGACUUCACUCCUGCUGUGCCAACGCUGCAGGUGAGACAGCUGAGGGUACAGACACCAAAGACCUGAAGCUGACGAAGAGCAUCAACUGUAAUGAUGUUAAAUUCAGCUUUAGUUUUGUUCUGAGCCUUUUUGCGCAGCCAAAAUGCUUAAAACAUAAACAAAUGAAUCUGCUUUGGACUUAUUUAACCUUUAAAGUUUGUGUCUUUAGCACAAAUAUUUAUAAAACAUCUUCAUUUCAACAUCCCACUCGUGCUUUUGAAAAUGUUAGGGCAAGCUGCUUAUAAUAAUCAGAAGAUUAGUUGAUGGAGGUCAAGGCUUAAAACAUGUACCAUCAAAAUGGAAUAAUACUAUCUCUGCUUCACUAAGAUCCAGUUUUAAAGGAUUUCUUCUGCACUUUUCAGCAUAUCUCUCCAGCAUUUGUCUAAAAUUUAAUUUUAGGACAAAAAUUUAUUUGGGAAAAUCUAAUCUAAAGACAAUCAAAAGAAUGUCUUUAAAAAAAAAAACUUUAGGAUGAAUGCAUGGAACGAGCCAACAAACUGAGCUUGUCUCUCAAUGGAUGAUGCUCUGGAGAGAGCACAGCAUCUUCUGCAUCCUGAGACGCCGUCCCCAAACUGUCCCUGCGUCCACAGCCUCCCGAUGAGACCCUCGCAGUCUCAUCCUGCUCCUCGGUCAUGCAUCUUUGAACAUACUAACAUCAUGGCAAUGAGGUGACCUGAGAAAUCCUGCAAUUUAUUAUAAAAUAAACUUGGCUUGUCUUCUGAAAAACUGUUGACCUUCUGUUAUGGCCUUUCUGAGGGAUUCUGUUGCUUCAAAAGAACAAUAACUCUUUCUAAUUGAAGCUCGUUAGCGACACAUCUUUCCAGCAGGGAAAGAUUCCUGUUUUGAAUUGGUUUCUGCACUGGGACGGGCUUCAGCAGAACCUCUGUGACGCUGGUCAUAUGAAAUAAAAGAGAAAGAGACCUGGAUUUUUGUUCAUGUUUUCCUGAUUUAUAUGAGGGAUGUUUUCUUCUUUUUCUGGACCGUGACACUUUAAUUUUGCCUUCUAUGAUAAAACUUUAUUACUGUAGUUUGUUGUAGUGACAGUUUUAGAACAGUGGGGCUAAAAUGUCAGAUCAAAAACGUUUUCCACGUAUUUAUUUAUUGAGUUUUUUGAUUUUGGUCUGCAAAGUUUUCCUUUACUGAGGUGGAGCCUCAGUAAACUUUUUAACUUUUAAAAUGUAACUUUUAGAUGAGUAAAGGAUUCUUGAAAUAGAAAGGUUGGAUAAAAUGCACAAAAUAAAAAAACAUCUCACAUCUUCCGUAGAAUGUGACAAUAAACAUGAUGUUUCCGUGGUUCUCGUCAUCCCAGGCUGUUGUCAUGACGAUCCAAAACAACUAAAACAAUCGGUUGUGUUUCAAUAAACCAGAAGAUAAAGUUGCAUCUACAUUGUUUUGCAAAAUAGCACAGUUUUUGUUGUGUUUUCUGUAUGCUUCCUGUUGUAAAGAGCCUUGUUAAUGUUUUGGAUGAUGCCAAACUCCUUUAUUUCUAAGAAAAGUUAUUUUUGUCGGCUUUAGAUUUGUGCCUAUCCCGAUUAAAGUCUUAACAUCUCUAAAGAUCCAUAAAAUGAUGGAAUUUUUAUCUUUUUUUUAGGAAAAUGUGUCUGUGAAGUCUGAGUUGAACAUCGUCACAUCUGUAAAGAAGAAUAGUUUCUUGCGGCUUCCUGGACUCUGUCGACGUCUGAAGAGAAGAAGAGUCACACUCCUGGUAGAGAUUAGCAAUGUUUUUAUUGCCUUUUUUUUGUCUUUCACAUCAGAUCUGACAGAUAUUUCCUUUGUAGUGCAACAUGGAGAAAUUUUGUUGGGGUCGGAGUUUAAACAGAAGACAGAAGAUUUCACCUGGACAGGUGUGUCGCUGCCCUCGGCAUUCCAAGUGUUCACAUUUCUUUCUCCACAGCCUCUAAAUAAAAAUAAUUUUAAAAAUGUGACAUUUCUCUUAUACUGAAGGCAAUUUUUCUCUAUAGCUGUGUGGAAAUGCAAUAACUUGUUUUUCAACGAGAGGAAUACCAUUUUUUUAAUGGAUUUAUCAGGAAUUAUGUUUGAUAAACUUUUUUUUUAUUUUAUUAGUUCAGUUUUUGUUGUUGUUGGUUUCUGAUUACUUGUUUUGAUUGCUUGAAAUGAACUAAUAAACCAAACCGAGAAAAAAAUGAUGUAGCUUUUCAUUAUUGUUUCUUAAAUCAAAUCAAACUUUAUUUAUAAAACACUUUUCAUACAACAUUAACGCAAAGGGCUUUGUGGACUUUAAACAAUUAAAGACAAAAUGAUAAAUACUCAGAAUUACCUUAUCAAUGUCACUUACAAUUACGCAUAGUGAAAAUUUUGUUAAUUUAAAGUAUUUAUACAGAAAUCAAAAGGGGUUAUCGGUUUAAAAUUAAAAGUGAGUCUUUACAUGUGUAUACCUUGUUGAUACAAACCUUGUUAGGUUAACUAGUUAUCUUAGGUUUAGUCAUUUCUGCAUCACGGGUUAACUUUUGAUCAUGCAAGUCUUUCAGUUAACUGAGGUGAUACAGGGUGAAAUACACAGUAUCCCUCUGUGGCUGAUUUAACCCUUGUGCUGUCUUAGAUGACCCCCCCUUACUUUGACGUGUUCUCCCUACCAUGACAAAGGUGGAUAAAGGUGGAAAGAUUUCAUGUAAUCCAUGGACACCAGUGAAGAUCACAAAUCAUUGAAGAAAAAAGGUUCAGAGCACUGUCUAGUGGGUCUAGAUGACCCACCUCCCCAUGUUAAAGUGCCUAGGAUAGAACAGGGGUUACAAUAUAAUGUUUUUUCAUUAGAACUUUAAUAAAAUGAAAGUGGACAGUUAUUGUGCAUAUUUGUUUUUCCUAAACUUAUUUAAAAUAUAAACAAAUCUCGUUAUUUAUUAAUGAAUGGUUUGAUGUUUGAGAAUCUGCUCUUGUGAAUGAAAUUACUGGCUGCCUCUUUAACGUCCGCCAACAUUCCUUUUUUUUUUUUUAAAUUGACAUCAUUCAGAAUUACACCGCAUUUUUUCCAUUUGGAACAUUCCAAUCCCAAAACAUAAGGCAGUUUAGCCUUUACAAAUAGAAAACUAGAACAAAGUCCAAGCAGCAGAUGAAAACAAUAUCAAAUCAUAAAACAGGGUUAUAAGUAAUAAAAAAUAAAUAAAACAUAGACAUAUGAUACCAAACUAAAAGUAGCAAUAAACAAAAAUUAUUAAAAUAGGAUAAAA
This 3585-nucleotide long non-coding RNA is filed under the name Oryzias sinensis (Chinese medaka). RNAcentral's name for it is "lncRNA (ENSOSIG00000000555.1)". The record is from RNAcentral. Lineage: Eukaryota; Metazoa; Chordata; Actinopteri; Beloniformes; Adrianichthyidae.